This 276-nucleotide long non-coding RNA is filed under the name Hordeum vulgare. Its description in RNAcentral is "long non-coding RNA (HVUL_LNC015175)". Lineage: Eukaryota; Viridiplantae; Streptophyta; Magnoliopsida; Poales; Poaceae. The record is from RNAcentral.
UAUGAUUAGUCUUGGGGAUGAUCGUUUGGUCAUGCUGGAAAAGACAGAAACUUGCUUCUCAUGAAAAGAAUUUAUUUUUUCUAUAAGAGAUUUUGAGUUGGUUCUUUUUGCUGCCGAUUGCUACGCAAAUUCUUCAGACUGUCGUAAUUUUUCAGAAUUUUUGGAGUAUAAGAAGUAUAAAAAAUGUACAGAUUGCUACAGACUGGUCUCCUGUUGACAUAUUCUGUUUUUGUUGUGUUGGUUGCUUGUUUUGAUGAAACUAUGGAUAGUAUCGGG